Long non-coding RNA from Oreochromis niloticus (Nile tilapia), 371 nucleotides. RefSeq lists it as uncharacterized. The transcript has 3 exons. Lineage: Eukaryota; Metazoa; Chordata; Actinopteri; Cichliformes; Cichlidae. The record is from RefSeq and is a predicted model, not a curated record.
GUGACUGGGAUGGAGAGGGAGUGUCCUAGUAAAUCAGGUUGCAGGAGGGGGUCACAGAAAAGGCCUCAGAGGAACAGGAGGGAUUCUGCAACAGAUGGAGAGGUCCGAGUUAGUAAGCACUGAGGAGGGGAGGUCUGUGGAAGUUUUCUUGGGAGUCCUGAGGUGUAACGAGAAGGUCGGAGGGCGGACAGACAGGGAGAUGAGAUGCAGAUGGAAUACAGGUGAGGUGCUGGAUGUCCCAAAAGGGGAGGACCCACAGCCACAGAUGGAAAACCUCCAGACACUCCCACAGACCGUAACAAAAACGUGGUUUCACAGAACUCCAAACAGUUUGGUGUUUUUAUUUUGAUACCCACACUGAUUGCCAUAAA